UGAUGAAUUGUAGGAGAAGCUUGUUUCUU
Molecule: non-coding RNA, 29 nt
Filed under: Rattus norvegicus (Norway rat)
Lineage: Eukaryota; Metazoa; Chordata; Mammalia; Rodentia; Muridae
Source: RNAcentral